GACGAACGCUGGCGGCGUGCUUAACACAUGCAAGUCGAACGGAAAGGCCCUGAGUUUGUGGGGUGCUCGAGUGGCGAAGGGGUGAGUAACACGUGAGUAACCUGCCCUUGACUUUGGGAUAACUUCAGGAAACUGGGGCUAAUACCGGAUAGGAGCUCCCGCAGCAUGGAGGGGGUUGGAAAGUCUCGGCCGUUGGGGAUGGACUGGCGGCUAAUCAGCUUGUUGGUGGGGUAGUGGCAUACCAAGGCUUUGACUGGUAGCCCGCAUGGGAGGGUGGCCGGGCUCCUGGGUCCUGCGGGAGGGACCAGUCUCCAACGUUGGACAGCAGUGGGGAGCCUGACCCAGCCGGCCCGCGUCUGUUACGACGGCCUUGGGUUUGGGAUGACGGCCUUUUGGGUGUGAACCGCUGCCGGUUGAUACGACGCUGUAGUGACGGUAAUGAGUGAAUAAGCACCGGCUAACUACGUG
Molecule: ribosomal RNA, 468 nt
Filed under: uncultured bacterium
Lineage: Bacteria
Description: partial 16S ribosomal RNA
Rfam family: Bacterial small subunit ribosomal RNA
Source: RNAcentral